GGACGAACGCUGGCGGCGUGCUUAACACAUGCAAGUCGAACGGAAAGGCCCUGCUUUUGUGGGGUGCUCGAGUGGCGAACGGGUGAGUAACACGUGAGUAACCUGCCCUUGACUUUGGGAUAACUUCAGGAAACUGGGGCUAAUACCGGAUAGGAGCUCCUGCUGCAUGGUGGGGGUUGGAAAGUUUCGGCGGUUGGGGAUGGACUCGCGGCUUAUCAGCUUGUUGGUGGGGUAGUGGCUUACCAAGGCUUUGACGGGUAGCCGGCCUGAGAGGGUGACCAGCCACAUUGGGACUGAGAUACGGCCCAGACUCCUACGGGAGGCAGCAGUGGGGAAUAUUGCACAAUGGGCGGAAGCCUGAUGCAGCAACGCCGCGUGCGGGAUGACGGCCUUCGGGUUGUAAACCGCUUUCGCCUGUGACGAAGCGUGAGUGACGGUAAUGGGUAAAGAAGCACCGGCUAACUACGUG
RNAcentral lists this ribosomal RNA (469 nucleotides) under uncultured bacterium. RNAcentral's name for it is "partial 16S ribosomal RNA". It matches the Rfam family "Bacterial small subunit ribosomal RNA", at positions 27 to 507 of the family's 1533-position model. The record is from RNAcentral.